This 403-nucleotide ribosomal RNA is filed under the name Fusobacteriota bacterium. Its description in RNAcentral is "Fusobacteria bacterium partial 16S ribosomal RNA". It matches the Rfam family "Bacterial small subunit ribosomal RNA", at positions 355 to 776 of the family's 1533-position model. The record is from RNAcentral. Lineage: Bacteria; Fusobacteriati; Fusobacteriota.
AGGGGAAUAUUGCACAACGGGGGAAACCCUGAUGCAGCGACGCCGCGUGAGCGAAGAAGGUUUUCGAAUCGUAAAGCUCUGUCCUAUGGGAAGAUAAUGACGGUACCAUAGGAGGAAGCCCCGGCUAACUACGUGCCAGCAGCCGCGGUCAUACGUAGGGGGCAAGCGUUGUCCGGAAUCACUGGGCGUAAAGGGUUCGCAGGCGGAAAUGCAAGUCAGUUGUGAAAGGCAGAGGCGCAACCUCUGUAAGCAAUUGAAACUGUAUUUCUUGAGAAGUGGAGAGGCAAGUGGAAUUCCUAGUGUAGCGGUGAAAUGCGUAGAUAUUAGGAAGAAGUCCGGUGGCGAAGGCGACUUGCUGGACACAAACUGACGCUGAGGAACGAAAGCGUAGGUAGCAAACAGG